AAUUGAAAAAGGCAAACUUAUCGAAAGGUAAGGACGCAAAGCUACGAGUCUAAUAUCCUCUAGGAUAAUGAUAGUCGGGUUGCCAAG
The sequence is a regulatory RNA element, 87 nucleotides long. It matches the Rfam family "c-di-GMP-I riboswitch aptamer". From Rfam's summary of the family: GEMM was predicted in a large-scale screen for bacterial structured RNA regulatory elements. Genes associated with GEMM are involved in a diverse array of functions, including chemotaxis regulation, signal transduction, secretion and chitin. The record is from Rfam.